RNAcentral lists this ribosomal RNA (521 nucleotides) under Clostridioides difficile. RNAcentral describes it as "bacterial SSU rRNA". It matches the Rfam family "Bacterial small subunit ribosomal RNA", at positions 1018 to 1533 of the family's 1533-position model. Lineage: Bacteria; Bacillati; Bacillota; Clostridia; Peptostreptococcales; Peptostreptococcaceae. The record is from RNAcentral.
UUCGGGGACAUUGGUGACAGGUGGUGCAUGGUUGUCGUCAGCUCGUGUCGUGAGAUGUUGGGUUAAGUCCCGCAACGAGCGCAACCCUUGUCUUUAGUUGCCAUCAUUAAGUUGGGCACUCUAGAGAGACUGCCAGGGAUAACCUGGAGGAAGGUGGGGAUGACGUCAAAUCAUCAUGCCCCUUAUGCUUAGGGCUACACACGUGCUACAAUGGGUAGUACAGAGGGUUGCCAAGCCGUAAGGUGGAGCUAAUCCCUUAAAGCUACUCUCAGUUCGGAUUGUAGGCUGAAACUCGCCUACAUGAAGCUGGAGUUACUAGUAAUCGCAGAUCAGAAUGCUGCGGUGAAUGCGUUCCCGGGUCUUGUACACACCGCCCGUCACACCACGGGAGUUGGAGACGCCCGAAGCCGAUUAUCUAACCUUUUGGAAGAAGUCGUCGAAGGUGGAAUCAAUAACUGGGGUGAAGUCGUAACAAGGUAGCCGUAUCGGAAGGUGCGGCUGGAUCACCUCCUUUCUAAGGA